UACUUACAUAUAAACUUACAUCUCAUUUAAGAUCAAGGCAAUAACAUUAUUGCAGUAUUAUUAUCAUACCAACUUACCUCAAAUGCUGAAACGGCUAACUUUUCUGACUUAGCACACAACUUUGUUCUUCCCUGAUCUUAAUCCAAAAUUUCAUGUUUUCUUGAUCUAACAUGUCAAAUAACACUUAUUUAUCACAUUUUAUCAACACAUUAACCAAUUAAAUUCAUAUAUCAAAAUUUGGAAAAUUUACAAUUAUGCCCCCUAACUUUUCAAAAAUUACACUUUUACCCCUAGGCUCGUAAAAUAAUUUUUUAUUCAAUUUCUAUAAGUUUUAAGACAUGCUGAACAUUUUUCUCUUCUAUGGAAACUCCAAAUUUUCACUAAUUCACACACUUAUGACCAAUUUAUAACUUUUACAAUUUAACCCCUUUUUGACAUUUUUACCGAAAUUCAUUGAAUAAAACUCAUAUUUAACACAUCAAACAUUCAUUAUCUACUAUAAUCAUCAAAACAAAACCAUAUCAUGAAUGGGUAAUUUUUUAAACUCUAAUUUCUCUUCAAUCAAUUGGUAGAAAUAGAAAAUUUAAGCUUUGGGGAUCUCAAAAAUACGAAAAUCAUUAAAAACGGGACAAAAAUCGUACCUAUAUAAGCCAUAGAAGCUUGGACGAAUGGAGCUCAUCCAUGGCUGCCAUUUUCGGUUCUUU
This 704-nucleotide long non-coding RNA is filed under the name Gossypium barbadense (sea-island cotton). RNAcentral's name for it is "long non-coding RNA (GBAR_LNC004417)". Lineage: Eukaryota; Viridiplantae; Streptophyta; Magnoliopsida; Malvales; Malvaceae. The record is from RNAcentral.